Molecule: long non-coding RNA, 515 nt
Organism: Malus domestica (apple)
Lineage: Eukaryota; Viridiplantae; Streptophyta; Magnoliopsida; Rosales; Rosaceae
Source: RefSeq, a predicted model, not a curated record
AACUGUUUCCGCAGCCUCCUUCCCCUCUCCAAACGUCACCCCACCUUCUCACAGAUCUUCGCCUAAUCCCUCUUAAUUUCCCUUUAUUUUCACUAAUUUUCUCUUAAUUCAUAUUUAGCGGUCGAAAAAUGAACUCAAUCAGAUCCUCCGCCUUCCCAAUCAUCGGGUUCAUGUUCAUGGCGCUCCUCAGCCUCGGCUACGGCCAGCAGGCGCCAGCUCCUGCUCCCACCAGCUACGGAAUGGCGAUCGAUCAGGGAAUCGCUUACACGCUUAUGAUGGUGGCGCUUGCAAUUACGUACCUCAUGCAUUAAGAGAUUGAUUUUCUCAAAUUUUCUUGGGGCAGAAAAACCGAAUCAGAAUUCACAUUGAGCAUUAUUGUUGUACAUCUGGUGAUAUUAUAAAAAAUUUAUUUAUUUUUUUUUUAAUUUUUUGUGUGUAUUUUUCUCUUAUUCAGAUGGAGAAUUUGCUUUGUAGUUCAAAUAUUAAUAUAAAUUAAUUUAUUAUUAUUAGCUCAA